UUCCAGUUGCUCAGCUUAACGAGGUAACCAAAUUCAAAUCACUUGAUUUCUGUGCAAUUCACAUUCUUCUAAAUUGUAACCUUUGUUAUCGAACCCUAACUACUUCAUCAGGUAAGCCAAUUUUAAAUCACAAACUUAAUUAUAACUAAAGUUAAACACUGAAUACUUAAAAUUGCGAUUCACAACAUUGUCAGUUUAAACAUAACAACCAUAGAGUAAUAAAUGAAGGAUUCACUUGAACAAUCUUUACAAAAAAUGGUCAAGGAAAAGCAAGAAGCUGAUGAACGAGUGAAGGCAGCUGAAGAUGAAGCCAGGAUCGCUCUUGAACGAGUAGCCAGUGCUGAAGAUGCAGCUAAAUCUUUGAGGGGUCGGUUAGAAGCCAUGGAAAGGAAAUUGGCUGAAGCAAAGGGAGACGCAGCUUAAGACGAUUGAAGAGAUUGAAAGCAAGACUAGUCGACUUGAAAUCAUUCAAUCCCAAACUGUUAACCUAAACUCAGCUAUCAAAAUGCUUGAAGAAAAAUCAGAGAGUCUGAAGAAAGCUCAAAAAGAGUUAAUGGCUUUGGGAGAGAAAAUGGAUGUUAAUGAAGCAGAAAAAGAAAAGAAAUUUGCUGAAUUAGAAGCUGAAAUCACUCGAACUCGUGAGCUGAGCAUCAAACGAGAACAAGAAAUGGCCUCCAAAUUGGAAUUGUUGAAUCAAAAAUCGGAAAAAUUGAGACAAUUGAAUGCUAAACAGACUAAAAAUGAAUAACUUUUAUGUUUAUAGUUUUAAUAAAAGCAACUCAAUGUGUAAUUAAACUGAUUUAGCAAAUGA
Non-coding RNA from Tetranychus urticae (two-spotted spider mite), 811 nucleotides. NCBI's taxonomy places the organism in Eukaryota, Metazoa, Arthropoda, Arachnida, Trombidiformes, Tetranychidae. The record is from RefSeq and is a predicted model, not a curated record.